GGGAGCUUAGUUAAGUGGUAUAACAGCGGUCUCCAGAACCGCGGUCGGGGGUUCAAUUCCUCCAGCUCCCGCAA
This 74-nucleotide transfer RNA is filed under the name Candidatus Tagabacteria bacterium CG_4_10_14_0_2_um_filter_40_13. RNAcentral describes it as "tRNA-Trp". It matches the Rfam family "tRNA". Rfam says of the family: Transfer RNA (tRNA) molecules are approximately 80 nucleotides in length. The record is from RNAcentral. RNAcentral also lists the same sequence under 4 other names. Lineage: Bacteria; Candidatus Tagaibacteriota.